Molecule: ribosomal RNA, 497 nt
Filed under: uncultured bacterium
Lineage: Bacteria
Description: partial 16S ribosomal RNA
Rfam family: Bacterial small subunit ribosomal RNA
Source: RNAcentral
GAUGAACGCUGGCGGCGUGCCUAAUACAUGCAAGUCGAGCGAACAGACGAGGAGCUUGCUCCUCUGACGUUAGCGGCGGACGGGUGAGUAACACGUGGAUAACCUACCUAUAAGACUGGGAUAACUUCUGGAAACCGGUGCUAAUACCGGAUAAUAUAUUUAACCGCAUGUUUCAAUAGUGAAAGACGGUUUUGCUGUCACUUAUAGAUGUAUCCGCGCCGCAUUAGCUAUUUGGUAAGGUAACGGCUUACCAAGGCAACGAUGCGUAGCCGACCUGAGAGGGUGAUCGGCCACACUGGAACUGAGACACGGUCCAGACUCCUACGGGAGGCAGCAGUAGGGAAUCUUCCGCAAUGGGCGAAAGCUUGACGGAGCAACGCCGCGUGAGUGAUGAAGGUCUUCGGAUCGUAAACCUCUGUUAUUAGGGAAGAACAAAUGUGUAAGUAACUAUGCACGUCUUGACGGUACCUAAUCAGAAAGCCACGGCUAACUACGUG